Molecule: long non-coding RNA, 5112 nt
Filed under: Ficedula albicollis (Collared flycatcher)
Lineage: Eukaryota; Metazoa; Chordata; Aves; Passeriformes; Muscicapidae
Description: lncRNA (ENSFALG00000022370.2)
Source: RNAcentral
GGGGGGGGGGGGGGGGGGGGGGGGGGGGGGGGGGGGGGGGGGGGGGGGGGGGGGGGGGCUCGGGGCCUGCUGCCGCCGUGCGGGGUUUGUUUAUCGAGCGUUUCGACCAUAAAUCAUAGUAUUGACAGUAGCGUUGUUCGGGAAGAGGCUCUUCUCCGUGCCCUCAAAGCGCGUGUUGCGGCAUUAGAGAAACGGCCAGAAAGUGAACGUGAGCAGAUCAGGAGUUAAGAAAAUGCUUAUCAAGGCCUUGGCACUCAGAGUUUCUGCCUGCAGAAGUCCCUGUUAGUGGGUGUUUCCCUGCUCACAGAGGGCACUGCCUGAGCUUUGCAAUUUGUAGCUGCUGUCAGCUGGGCUGCACUGAGGUGAACAAUUAGUUCCACUGUGAAACAGAAGGUGAUGCGGUGCCUGCCAGCAGUCAGAAACCUGCAGAUAAGACCUUCUGUACCAACUGUUUGUGAUUUUCUACAGUUACUGCUAGAAACAAGAACAGAUGGAUACUUCCUUAACACCUGCUGCUGUGGGAGUCUUCUGAAACACUUGCAAACAGGUGGAGAGCAGAUGAUUGAGAGGAAGCAGAACCAUGGGCGAAACCAAUUUCUGAAUCGGCAGCCUUCUUUUUUGUUUUCAUUGCAACUGAAAAUUGGUCCAAAGAGUUAUGUUCUUGAUGAAGCUACAUGCUGUGCCAAAGCUAGAUGUUAUUGAGCUUGCUUAUCAGACAUGAUAAGCAAUACAAGAAUAUAACUACAGCAGAUAUCCCUUUGCCACGUGCCCAGUGAGGGCAACAUUAUGGCUGCAUACUCUGAAACAGGAAAAGGAGAACAACACUGAUGUUCCACAAGGACCUUUGCAUGGAUUUCAUCCACUUCAUGGAUUUAAUGAGAAAUGAAUGGGCAAGCAACAAAGACAAUGUCUCCUUGUAGCUAAAGAAAUCUCAGUCUGAUUCUGAUCGUUAGGCACUUAUGUGCCACCAUAUUACUGGUUAAAAUACUUUUCCAAACUCACUUUUUCUAAGCAAAUAAACAAAAUAGCAGCAAAAUCACAACCAUCACAACAGAGUGAAAAAAUAGCCAUUGCUGAUCUUGCAGAAACAUCCUCUUCCAAUGAACAAUGUGUGCUUUCAGACCUUUGACUAUGGCCAUCUUCAGAGACUGUGAAUAAUUGUUUACUCAUGGGCAUUUAUGUAAGUCCUUCAGCCGGUAAGCAUCUCCUUUUCCAAUUUUCAACAUAUUUUCUUUUCUCAGAGACAGAAGUGUCUUUCCUCCUGGGUUUCCAUAGAACCCUUCUUUGUUACAGGUCUACCCAAGACUAGAGUUAGGCAGUCAUUCAUUGUCCACAAUUUCUGUCUUCAUUUAAAACAAACAAACAAACAAACAAACAAAUUUCAUGUGUGCAAAUAAAAUCAUAGCAGCAUAAGGAAUACCAACUAUAUCAGUGAGUCAAUGUGUUAAAUUUUUGCCACCCCCAUUAAUUUGUAACCCUCUUGACUACUAGACCUACAGAGCUGGCCACAAAAUGACACCAUUAUCUUCAUCUUUGCUCACAUAAAAAGUUGUAUCAGAUUUUUUAUCUUCAAACCCUUGCAGAAGUAUUAACCUCACAUCUCAUUCCCUUUAGAGUCUGCAGCUCCUGAAGAGUCCAGAGUGCAGAGGCAGAUUUACCCUGAAGGACUGCAGUCCAUGGAAGGGCACAUGCUGGAGCAGAGGAAAAGUAAGUGGAGGAAGGCAUGAGAAAGAAGAGCUCUUGUGAGGUUGCAAUACUCAUUCUUUCUGCACCAGGCUCGGGGCAGGAGCGAGUUGGGGAUGAAAGAAUUAUGUGGAGUCUGGCAAAAGAGGGGGUUGAGGGUGGUGGGAAAGUGCUUUAGUUUUUGUUUAUUUGUCUUAUGUUCUUACUCUAUUUUAGUUGUUAUUAUUAAUUAAUUUUGUCCCAUCAAGUCUGUUUCGCCCACAACAGUUGCUGGUGAGCAAUCUCCUUGCCCUCAUCUCAACCCAUGAGUUGUUUUCUUCUUAUUUUUUCAUCCUGUCCCACUGAGGAAGAGCAAGGAGAGAGCUGCUGGGUAGGAGAUUGCUAGCCAUGGCUAAUCUACCAUACCAGUGUAUCAUCUUUGCAGCAUCUCUAAUUUGAUUUGUAUCAAAGGAGAGUAUUCAAAAAGUCACAGUUCUAGAAAAAAUAUGUGCAUGUAACUUCAAGUUCUCAAGCUAAGCACAUUAAAGAUUUCACUUGCCACUUUGUGGGUAAAACUGGACAUUCCAGCAAAAGAUGUGCAUGUAUGCCUUAUAAUUUUUUAAUUUCUCAAAAGUUAUUCUUAGUAAUUUUCCUCAUUUCUCAUUUUUAAUUAUGGGGGGGGGAGAUUAAUUCAAAUUACCCGAAUAACUUUUGAAAACUAAUUCCUAUUCUUCCUACAUGUUCAAUCUGUAAGAUGUAUGCACAAAGUAGCAUUUGUCAAGAUGUGAAUACAUAACCAUAAUGACAUUAAUGUCUUAUCCAGGAGUCCCUGCUGGAUAAACACUGCUGGGGCAUCACACUUGCCAAGCAGAGCCAAGGCAGUCUACUGUACCUUCUCGUUGCUUUCUACAGCUCAGGCUUUCUUCCAUUAUCUCCUCCAAUCAAGCAUGAUUACAUACUAGCUUCAGCUGGCAUUCUGACAGUUCAAGACAUCAGAUACUGAUAAAUACAAACAGUGCUCUGAAAUUUGGAAAUCAGUAUGUAAGAGGUGGUAUGAUUGAACUUUGGAACCCAUAUAAGCUGUAUCCAUAUAAUACAAUAAAUGCUGCAAAUGGUAUUAGAUGUUUCAAUAUCUAUAUUAUGUACCUUUAAACAUUCCAAAAUACAUUUAAAGUGUCUAGAAGUGUUUCGAAUGGAUCUUGUGCACAUGCAGUGUUCAGUCAAGUGGAUUGCCCCUGCACAGAUUAUGAACGUACCUGAUCUAUAAAACUCAGCUUCCUCUCUGACCUGUGUCUUCCCUUGUGACACCUAGUUAUUUGAGCUAGCAGAUCUAAAAUGUGCUUAAUAGAUUUGUAAUUUUAUCCUGAGUGAAGAAUCAACUCAACUUCUAUCCAAUUUCAGAAUAACAUUUUAAAAAAUGGCAACUGAAAAUCUGCUAAGAUUUUUUUAUCAAAACUGCCGUAUAAGAUUUUUUUUUAAAAAAGCAGUUGCUCUAUAUUUAUGACAGUGGCUCAUCGAUUGCUAAAAACAAAAGCAAAAAUUUCAAAAUAAUGCUAAAAAUGGAGUUAAAGUUUGUAGCUGAGAUUCUUCAAAAAGGUUCUGAAUUUGGGGUUAGAGUACUAUCAUGUCUUUUUAUUUCAUGCUUAAUAACCCUUUUUUGCCUGUGAGAGUCUUUCAUUUCUGAAACUUGGCAGGAUAUAGCAUGUUAUUAAUCGAUAUUGUAAACUCAAGUCUUGAUUUUGUUGGUUGUCCCAAGUAUCAUACAAACAUAAGGAAAACAAAUACCUCAACUGAAAAGCUUAAAUUUAAUUUUGUCACAAUUCAGAUCUUAUGCAGGAAGCUGAGUGGCUUAUAAUUCUUAGGUCAUUAGUUGCUAUAGGACCACAGAUUUUAGAAAGCUGAUGUGCCUUGCAAGGCCAGAUACUUCAUUUAAGCCAAACAAGGAAACAGUACAAUUUCUGACUGUUUUUCUAAUGGCAGAGGGCAAUGGAACUUUAGAGUAGGAUAGUUCAGCUGGAAGAACCUGUAAGACAAUCAUCCAGUCCAGCUGACCGACCAGUUCAGGACUGACCAAAAGUUAAAGCAUGCUAUUAAGGGCAUCCAAAUGACUUUUAAAUGCUGACAGGCCUGGGGCAUUGACCACCUCUCUAGGAAGCCUGUUCCAGUGUUUGACCACCCUCUCAUGCAGAAAUGCUUCCUAAUCCAGUCUGAACCUCCUGUGGUGAAGGCUGAAACUAUUCCCUUCUGUCCUAUCCCUGGCUUGGAGGGAGAAGUGAUCAGAAGAUCCGUCUCCACUUCCCCUCCUCAGGAAGCUGCUCCAGAGAGCAAUGAGGUCACCUCUCAGCAUCCUUCAUUCCAAACUAGACAAACGCCAAGUCCUCAGCUGCUCGUCAUAGGACUUGUGUUCUAAAUUCAGAUUAAGUGUUAAUAGAUGUCCAGAGUUGAAAUUACUAUGUGUGCAUGUGUGUAUACCAGAAGGAAAACACAGGAAACAGCAAGUGAAUUAAGUCAGGGAGCAAUCCAAAGAAGAGAAUUCAGAGUAAAUGUUAUCAGAUGAAAGAUGUGUCUCCUGUUUCUUAUUUUCCACCAUAUUCAGGAAAAUUGGAUUCCAUGUACAUUUUUCAAAAAUAAACAAGAUUACAACAAAGACAUUUCUGAUUGCAAAAUCAAUUUCAGGGGAAAAUAAAACAAUCUGAAAGGUCUCAAACUGCUCAGCUCCUCAAGCUAUAUCUCUGUGGAAUUGUGUCAUGCUAUUCUUCUUAUUAUAGACCUGUAAGAGAAAAGAAGGGUGUUAUUUCCAAAAUGUUAUAGUUUGUGAGUUACAAACUGAAGGAAAAACAAAAAUGUAUUUGCGAGGCAAUGAAAGAUUAUUGCACAUUCAUUUAAAGCUAAAACAUACAGUUUGUAAUUUAAAGGUAAAUCAUUCUAUAUUUAAAUGUUGUAUUUUUCUUAUGAAGUGACUUACCCAAGCAAAACAGCAAUGCUGAUUUGUCAUAAGAAAGCCAUUUUGCCAUACAGAAAUGGAAUAUUUUUCAGUUACAGUUAUUUUCAUCAUUCUGUGAUAUAGCUAUUUCUUCUUACUUUAUUAUUUUUAACUGUUAAAAAUGAUCUUGUCAGUAGUGAAGGAAUAUAACAACUUUUCAAAGUUUACAUUUCUGUUCUUUUGAAGACAACAUAUUAAAAAAAAAAACCACAAACUGCCCAAUGUCCUUAUGCUAAAACAGGAAGUGUUCUAGGCAUUCUGCUAGAACAUGGGGAGGAAGCUUUGGUCCUUGCUCUGAAGGUUGCUGGUAUUUUUAAACAAAUACAGUUUAAUGCAAAGUGUUGCUGUCGAGAAGCCUUGUCUGGAAAUCAGUGCUGUCUUCCCUCUUGGGUGAUUCCUUUAUCCACAAACCUUUAUUUACACUUUGCUUCUCUGCUUUUCCACAUGGUCCCUGUAUGCUGAGCUAG